CACACCCUGCGCUGCCCUGUCCUGCGCGAGUGGAGCUCUGAAGAAGCUCUGAGCGGAGUUGUGUUCUUCCCCAGCUUUAAUAGAAUUGUUCCUAAGAGGCGACUCAGAAAACAUACAGAUUGAAUGCCAAGUUGUGGAAGUCACUUUUCAGCUUGUGUCUAACAACCCAGCAUUCUCAGCAAAGCAGUUUCCUCAUGAGAAGAGUGGAGGAGACCUUUUUUUUAAAAAAAUUAUUUAUUGUAUGUUGUUCGUAUCCUAUACACCACACAUGACUUUUACUGUAUUGGAAAUGUAUUAUUUCAGUGGUAAAUACUGCAUAUCUUACUGAAAAAUUAAAACCUUUUAAAAAACAA
This 353-nucleotide long non-coding RNA is filed under the name Homo sapiens (human). RNAcentral describes it as "HSALNT0151925". Lineage: Eukaryota; Metazoa; Chordata; Mammalia; Primates; Hominidae. The record is from RNAcentral.